GAGCCGACUCCGUGGGUUGAGAGAGCAUUGGUGGCGGCGGCCGAGUCAGGUAGGGGGGUCCGGGUGAACAGCGGGGUGGCGAGACCUGAGCACAGACACCGCCCAGGGCUCUGCAUAGUUCGAGCCCCAAGCUCCGCCCAGCCGGUCUCUUGGGGCCGGGAUUGCCAUUAACUGCCCCGGGAGUAGUUGACGGUGGGGGUCGGAGGAUGGAAGGUGGGGUGUGCCUUUCCACAUCCUCCGUGAUUAACCAGUCAGCUGGGUCCGCAGUUGUGGUUGCCUUCUCCCAAAGUAGAGGGGUGGUAGAGAACAGGCGGACUCUUUCUGGAAGAAUUGCUGUUGCUGCCCCAGUACUGAGAGAUUUAAUAUUUAAGGUGCCAUUUUUCUCGUAUUUAAUGGGCCCAAAGAGUUAACAUGAAUUCAUAGAAGCAAAGCUCUGUAAUUCCCCGCCCCUGGCUGUUCAGUAUGGUUCUUUUAGCUUUUGAAGCUUCCCCCUAGAUGGGACAGAAAUAGUUUCUGAGUCCAAAGCUGAUGCAAAUGUUAAAGUGUGGCUUUGACUCUAGUGAGCCAUUCCCUAGAGGGAGGACAUGGAAGAGAACUAACUGGUUUGGAGGAAUUUGGGUGAAUUCAGCGAAGGAUAGAGUAAUUCCAAACAUUUAUGGAAUCUCCCUUAGCUCUACUGCUUUUGAGCCAUGGGAUAUUGGACAACUUCUUUAUUCUCUUUGUGUAUUAGUAAGUGUCCAAUAACUAGCAUUGUUAUUAUAGUUAUUUCUGUAUUAGACUUUAUUUCUUCAGGUAUUUGUUGAAUACCUACUUGAUUCCAAAUUUCUGCUAGACACGGGUACACAGUAGUAAAGACAAACUUUCAGAGACCUUGUGAUCUAAUAGGGAAUGCAGAUAUUAAAUGAUGAUCAGUAUUCUGCUAUUAUAGAGGAAGUGCAGGGAUCAUAUGAAUGGGUCAGGGGUGAUCUCAGUAAGAAAAUGAUUUAAGUGACACCUGAACAGUAGGAGUGAGCCAGGUGUGAGGACUGGGUUGGGGAUAGGAGGAGGGAAAGGAGUAUACUUGAAGAGGGAAUAGCAGUGGUGUAGUACAGAACUGAAAGGUCAGUGUGGCUGGAAUACACAGUUCAAGAGGAAGAGUGGUAAGAGAUGAGGCAGGAAAGUUAUUCACAUCCAAUAUGGCGAGUAUUAUAAGGCAUUUUAAGGAAUGUAGACUUUAUUGGUUAAGAUGAUGGGAAGCCAUUGGCAGGUUUUACAUAACAGAGUGACCUAACAAAUUUUUGGUUUUAAAAGGGAUGCUUCUUGGAGCAGGCAAGAGUAGAUACAGGGAGAUAUUUAAGCAUGAGACAAUGGUGGCCAAAAUUGGGAUUUUGACUUUGGGGAUGGAAAGAAGUAGAAACAUUUAAGAUGUGUAUAGGAAGAAGGAUAAGACUUGGUGAGGAUUAAAUAUCGGCGGUGAAGGAGAGGAGGGUUAGAGUAGUAUGUGGGUUUUAUAAAAUAGACUCUGGGAGUUAUUAGUGAACUUCCUCUAUGCAAAUUGACUCUUCUCUGCUCCAUUUUUAUCUGUCUGUCAAGUAAUUUCUCAUUGAAUCGACUAAUGGCAGACAAGUUGAAAAGAUUGUGAUGCUUUGUUGCUUUACUCUCUGAUUCAGCCAGCUUGUCUUUUGAAGAAGGUCAGAAUGUGGAAAGACUUUGUAAACUAGCCAUUUAAAAAUAUGCUGCCAUGGUGAUUUUGGCAGUGUGGUUGCGUAUAUUCUACGAUAUGGAUUUAUGGGUACAAUUUACGUUUACCUUUUUUUCUAGGUUUUACUCUAAGAGCAAACAGAGUUGGUGCUUUUAUUUCUAUCACAUAGAUUAAUACAUGUGUGUAAUUAGGGAGAGAGAAUAAUUGAAACAUAGAAAUAGAGGAGAUUGCUCAUAGAAAGUAUAUAGUGAGAGAAAAGCCUAAACUUGGGAUUGAAUAGCCAAAGGAUGGAUUGAGAAUGAAGAGUCUGCAAGAAGACCUAGAAGGAAAGAUCAAUGGGUUAGGAAGAAAAUCUGGAGUUUAGUCUUUGAAAGCUAAAGGGCAGACAGGUUUCAGAAAUUGAGAGGAGUCAGCAAUGUCAAACGUUGUUUGAAAAAAGUGCAGGGUAAUAAGUGAAAAGUACGCACUGAUUUUAGGAACUUACCGCUCAUUUUAGAAUUUGGCAGAGCAAUUUGUUGUAUAGUGGGAACCAUUGUUUAGUGGUAGGAGAAGUGCAGCAAUCAAAUAACAUCUGUCAAGAGGACAGAAGAUUGAACUUGGAAGAGAAGAUGGGGAUGAGUGAGGAUUGUUUCUAUUGUUUCUGGUUUUUGGUAUUUUUUUUUUUAAGUAGUUUAUUUUUGGGAGAGGGGGAGGGGCAGCGACAGAGGGAGAGAGAAUCCCAAGCAGGCUCUGCACUGUCAGCAUGGAGUCCCACGAGGUGCUCUAUCCCAUGAACCUGAGAUCAUGACCUGAGCUGAACUCAAGAGUCGGGCACUUAACUGGCUAAGCCACCCAGGCGCCCUGGUAUUAUUAUUAUUAUUAUUAUUAUUAUUAUUAUUACUUUUUAAUGUUCUAUUUAUUUUUGAGAGAGAGAGAGAGAGACAGAGUACAGGCGAGGGAGGGGCACAGAGAGAAGGAGACACAGAAUCCGAAGCAGGCUCCAGGCUCUGAGCUGUCAGCACAUAGCCGCCGAGGGGCUCGAACCAACAAACCAUGAGAUCACGACCGAGCUGAAAUCAAGAGUCAGACGCUGGACUAACUGAGCCAACCAGGCCCCCCACCCCAGUGUUAUUUUUAAAAAGAGCUUUGUAGAGCCCCUGGGUAGCUCAGUGGGUUAAGCAUCCGACUCUUGAUUUCUGCUCAGGUCAUGAUCUCACAAUUCAUGGGUUCGACCCCUUCAUCCGGCUCAGCGCUGACAGGGCUGAGUCUGCCUGGAAUUCUCUCUCUGCCCCUCCCCUGUGCACAUAUACUCUCGCUGUCUCUCAAAUAAACUCAGAUAUUUGCAAAGCUCUUUUAAGUGCUAAUGGAUAAGAGUGGGAGUUUGGAGAGAGAGGAGACAAGUUCUGGAAGAGGUAGAGGGAAAAACAUAAUCUAAUAUGGCUGAAAGAUUUACCCUUAUAUAGGGAAGGGACAUCCUUCUUUUCUUGUAUCAGGAGAUGUAGGUUAGACAUGGGUUUGUAGGGUUGGAAACCCAAGUAAGCUCUCUUCAGACACCUCUGUCGGAGGCAGUCAUAUAGUGAGAAUGCAGUGAGAAAUGGGUGUCAGAGAUUUGACUAGAAGAAGAGAGGAUGAUAGUCACAGAAUGGGAGAGUGAUUUGAGUGGCAUCCAUUUAGCCUGGUGUGUGAUUUUUUGUUUUUUUUCUCCAGCAGUGUUCAGUUGUCUAAGCCCAGACUGUACCAUCAACUGAGGAUAUAUAUGCCAACAUAGUCACUGAAUGAUUAUAUAACAUACGGGAGUGAUGUUAAAAAGAUACAAUGUAUUCUAGAUUUUUUUCAGUGUCUUAAGCUUAGGGGAAAAAAGGUAAAACCAAAAUAAGGUUUUGUCCUUCCAAACAGAGGAAGACAUUUUCUUUAGUGUGUAUGGUAUCAUAAGUAAGAAAUGAUUGGAUGAAAAUGUAAUUGAGGAAAAUCAGAAAAAUAGGAUUAUCUGUAAAAAAUAUACUUGAUGAAGUAGAAUUAGUAAGAAGUGGAAUUAGUAAGAGUACUUGGAACAUCCCAGAGACUGUAAGAUUGUCACUCAUUGACAUUCUUCUCCAGCCAAAUGGAUAAUUAACAUUAAUUCCAGGUUAUCUUAUGUUUCUGUCAGGUCUUUUAGUGUCCUAUUAAGAAAGUAUAAAUAAACUGAUCACAAACAAGUCAUUUUUUUGAAUUUUUAUCCAGUUGAGUUCUCCAUGGAUAUUUAAUGUGACUGUGAACUGUUGAAUGGAUCAGUUCUUUUGAAACAGUAUACUAGAAAAUUUGAACAGUUAUCCGGCAGAUAGUUAAAGCAUUUUUGACCACUGUCAUGCUUUAAGUGCAACUUUUGGGGGGCACUCAAAGAUUGAAAUAAUUAUCUGGGUCCUUUAACAAAUAAUUGUUAACUUUUUAAAAGUAAAAUUAUAAGGUUUUUAAUUUACAAUAAAUAUUGGUUAGCAUUCCAACUUUACAAUUUUAACUAGAAAGUUCAGGAAUUGGUUUGCUACAGAGAUAGCAUCUAGAUUUAGAAAGGAGGUUUGAUAAUCCAAGUAAUUUAGUGGAGACAAAACUACAGGGAAAAUUACAGAUUAACUUUAGGGACUAAUUUUAAUACUUUACUUCUAAUAAGCAUAUUCGUUAAUGUAAAGACUAAGAUUUUAUAGCAUGUUAGAGUUGCCUUGUAAAAAGAUGUAGAGGAUUUUAGGCAGAUAGUAAUGGUUGCUAUUAUUGGGUAUUAGUGCUUUUCAAAUUAAAGAUGAGGAUGAAGUCCAUCAUUCUUUUUAGCUGCUGAGUAGCUUGUGAUUGUGCCAAAUCCAUCUGCUACAACCUAAGCCAGGUUGAAUAUCUCAUAUUUGCCUGUAGUUGAAAAAUCAAAUAUUGAAACAAGAAUGGCUUAGUCUCUGGAAAAACAGUUUCAUUGGUGGUGAUUUAGUCAUACAGUCUUAGCAUAUGUUAAGUAGAAAGCACUGCCAUUUUGGUUUGAAUAAAGUGAAUUUUUAAACCAGAGACAGUUACCGUUAAGAUACAUGCAAGUCAAAUUUAAAACUGGGUUUCAGAAGAAACUGUAUAUUUCAUUUAUUAUUUUUUACAAAGAAGAUAGGUGGAAAAGGUGAAUUAUAUAAAAUUAACACUGACAUAUAUAUUUUUUUCAUUUUAGAUCACUGUAAACAAAAAUUCCACCAGAGGAAAUGCGGAAAUAGGAGUUACGGAUACAUUGGAUUUGCUGGAUGAAAUACAAGCAGAUAAUUUUUGAAACGUGGGGAGAAAGCCCAAAUUGCCAGAUUACAUGUGUAAAUCACUGCGUUACUGCUUUAGUCAUUGUCUCUAUUUAGCAAUGACAAGACUGGAAGAAGUAAACAGAGAAGUGAAUAUGCAUUCUUCAGUGCGUUAUCUUGGCUAUUUAGCCAGAAUCAACUUACUGGUUGCUAUAUGCCUAGGUCUUUAUGUAAGAUGGGAAAAAACAGCAAAUUCCUUAAUUUUGGUAAUUUUUAUUCUUGGUCUUUUUGUUCUUGGAAUUGCCAGCAUACUCUAUUAUUAUUUUUCAAUGGAAGCGGCAAGUUUAAGUCUCUCCAAUCUUUGGUUUGGAUUCUUGCUUGGCCUCCUAUGUUUUCUUGACAAUUCAUCCUUUAAAAAUGAUGUGAAAGAAGAAUCAACCAAAUAUUUGCUUCUAACUUCCAUAGUAUUAAGGAUAUUAUGCGCUUUGGUGGAGAGAAUUUCUGGGUAUGUCCGUCAUCGACCCACUUUACUAACCACAGUUGAAUUUCUGGAACUUGUUGGAUUUGCUAUUGCCAGCACAACUAUGUUGGUGGAGAAGUCUUUGAGUGUCAUUUUACUUGUCGUAGCUUUGGCCAUGCUGAUUAUUGACCUGAGAAUGAAGUCUUUCUUAGCUAUUCCAAACUUAGUUAUUUUUGCAGUCUUGUUGUUUUUCUCCUCAUUGGAAACUCCCAAAAAUCCAAUUGCUUUUGCAUGUUUUUUUAUCUGCCUGAUAACCGACCCUUUCCUUGACAUCUAUUUUAGCGGACUUUCAGUGACUGAAAGGUGGAAACCCUUUUUGUACCGUGGAAGAAUAUGCAGAAGACUUUCAGUUGUUUUCAUUGGAAUGAUUGAGCUUACCUUUUUUAUUCUUUCAGCAUUUAAACUUAGAGACACUCACCUCUGGUAUUUUGUAAUACCAGGCUUUUCCAUUUUUGGAAUUUUCUGGAUGAUUUGCCAUAUUAUUUUUCUCUUAACUCUUUGGGGAUUCCAUACCAAGUUAAAUGACUGCCA
Molecule: long non-coding RNA, 5941 nt
Filed under: Lynx pardinus (Iberian lynx)
Lineage: Eukaryota; Metazoa; Chordata; Mammalia; Carnivora; Felidae
Source: RNAcentral